CAGGCUUAACACAUGCAAGUCGAGGGGCAGCAUUUUAGUUUGCUUGCAAACUAAAGAUGGCGACCGGCGCACGGGUGAGUAACACGUAUCCAACCUGCCGAUAACUCGGGGAUAGCCUUUCGAAAGAAAGAUUAAUAUCCGAUGGUAUAUUAAAACCGCAUGGUUUUACUAUUAAAGAAUUUCGGUUAUCGAUGGGGAUGCGUUCCAUUAGUUUGUUGGCGGGGUAACGGCCCACCAAGACUACGAUGGAUAGGGGUUCUGAGAGGAAGGUCCCCCACAUUGGAACUGAGACACGGUCCAAACUCCUACGGGAGGCAGCAGUGAGGAAUAUUGGUCAAUGGACGAGAGUCUGAACCAGCCAAGUAGCGUGAAGGAUGACUGCCCUAUGGGUUGUAAACUUCUUUUAUAUGGGAAUAAAGUAUUCCACGUGUGGGAUUUUGUAUGUACCAUAUGAAUAAGGAUCGGCUGACUCCGUGCCAGCAGUCGCGGUAAUACGGAGGAUCCGAGCGUUAUCCGGAUUUAUUGGGUUUAAAGGGAGCGUAGGUGGAUUGUUAAGUCAGUUGUGAAAGUUUGCGGCUCAACCGUAAAAUUGCAGUUGAAACUGGCAGUCUUGAGUACAGUAGAGGUGGGCGGAAUUCGUGGUGUAGCGGUGAAAUGCUUAGAUAUCACGAAGAA
This 675-nucleotide ribosomal RNA is filed under the name uncultured bacterium. RNAcentral describes it as "bacterial SSU rRNA". It matches the Rfam family "Bacterial small subunit ribosomal RNA", at positions 43 to 706 of the family's 1533-position model. The record is from RNAcentral.